GACGAACGCUGGCGGCGUGCUUAACACAUGCAAGUCGAACGGAAAGGCCCCUUUGGGGGUCCUCGAGUGGCGAACGGGUGAGUAACACGUGAGUAACCUGCCCUUGACUUCGGGAUAACUUCAGGAAACUGGGGCUAAUACCGGAUAGGAAUCCUUGCUGCAUGGUGGGGGUUGGAAAGCUUCGGCGGUUUUGGAUGGACUCGCGGCUUAUCAGCUUGUUGGUGGGGUAGUGGCUUACCAAGGCUUUGACGGGUAGCCGGCCUGAGAGGGCGACCGGCCACAUUGGGACUGAGAGACGGCCCAGACUCCUACGGGAGGCAGCAGUGGGGAAUAUUGCACAAUGGGCGGAAGCCUGAUGCAGCAACGCCGCGGGCGGGAUGACGGCCUUCGGGUUGUAAACCGCUUUCAGCAGGGGCGAAGCUUGUGGUGACGGUACCUGCAGAAGAAGCACCGGCUAACUACGUG
RNAcentral lists this ribosomal RNA (465 nucleotides) under uncultured bacterium. RNAcentral's name for it is "partial 16S ribosomal RNA". It matches the Rfam family "Bacterial small subunit ribosomal RNA", at positions 28 to 507 of the family's 1533-position model. The record is from RNAcentral.